GUUUAAUUGCUGUGGAUAACCAUCGAUCAUUGCUGGGCUGCCCCUGGGACGGUGGACUUUGAGAGAGGAGAAAACAAGCCCAGGCAGAGCAUCCUGCCCCUGGUCAUUGAUGGUAGAGGUGGUUCAGAGGAACACAUGCUGGUCCAAGACUGGGUGCUACUGUAACCUGGCCGUCUUCCACCUGAAGUCCAGCCCAGUGCCUACUGCUCUGCUUUCUGCUUAUGGGUUGUUCAGUGCCGCAGCCUGCCUGCCUUGGCUUUUCAAGUGUCAUCUGUUCCUGUAUUCCCCAGAUCCCAGCUCUGCCCGCCACAUCAGGAAGUCCACCCUCUUACAGCCUGAUGAGCCCCUCGGAGGCUGGAGACUGCCCUACCUUCGAUACUGUACCCCACACCUUCAGCUGGAUCUCUUCCAGACCUGGCCUCUGUCCCGGUGGUAGUUUCAUGCCACAUCCAUCUGUUCCCACUACAUGCCCCUUCCAUGCCCCAGGAAUUCAGAGACCAAGUAAAAAAUGAGCAUUCCUAGCGACCAUAAUUAGAUUCCAAAGAUGAGAAAGGAGUUUUUAAGUAAAUGCCAACCAUCUCCAUAUAAAAAAAGAAAACUUUUUAAUCGAUUGUUGGGGGGAGCUGUUAAUGAGCUAACCACUUUUAAUUCAAUAUUUGACAGUAAUUGCAACAGAAUUACAUUUAACAAGACAAGAACCUCUAUGGGUUUUUAGCAGUCAAAUGAGGUACAGAAUGGUUCUUUUCAAGGAACUGAAAUAUAAUCAAAGGAGCCUUCAUGCCUGUUGCUGAGUCUGAGUGACAAGACUACCA
RNAcentral lists this long non-coding RNA (812 nucleotides) under Equus asinus (donkey). RNAcentral's name for it is "lncRNA (ENSEASG00005024170.1)". Lineage: Eukaryota; Metazoa; Chordata; Mammalia; Perissodactyla; Equidae. The record is from RNAcentral.